GAUGUUUAAUAACUUUAAGACUAUGUGUACUUGGGAGCCGAGGCACAAUCAUGUCCUUUCGACCACAUUUGAGAGGAAGUCAUCCGCCAGACUGUCUGCUUGGCUAAAGAAAGUUCAGGAUAGUGCUGAACGUCCGGAUUGGAUGUUGCCGCAUGUUUUUGAUGAUCCGGGUCGAUAUUGGAACACAGACAAGUUUAAGGCAAUAUCAGACCAAGCCAAAAAGGCUAGAGGCAGUCUUACGGGUGGCUCGUUGCACACCAGAGGUUCAAAGUCUGUUGGAACAAUUGCAAGAGAGAUGGAAAGAGAAUUGGGACGCACUCCCAUUGCACCUGAGGUUUUCAAGAAGACUCAUGUCAGGAAGAAAGAAAAUGAGUAGGAUCUGGAUGUGUGGGUGGAGGAAAGAGCCGAACAAACUUUUAUCUGGAAAGAAAAAGUGGUGGGGGGACAUAUAAGGGUAGAGUCUAUGGUCUAGGAUCUCAAAACAAUGUAAGACGACUCCAAUCAGGCUUAGAAGGAAUUGGAUCGUCAAUUCAAGCCGAGGCACUUGACGAUGUUCAGAUUGCUGCUAUGUCCGAUCAAAUAGCUAAACUUACAGUGGCACUGGCAGAGUCGGAGCUGAGAAGAGUGCUGAACAAGAAAGCCUGAGCAAGACCGUUCAGCAAAUCCAAAAACAAGUGAUGACCAAAGAUGCGCAAAGUUUUUAGACUGUCACUAUAAUAAAUGUUUACCUAAACACUAUCAUAUCAAAUCUAUUGUUUGGGAGGUUUCUAGGAACAGAUGUCUCUUGGGUCGAUUUACGGUAGGUAACCAUUAUGACUCAGUACCAAAGUUAUUUUGAGUCUAUCCUAUCAGUCCUCGGUGAGUCUGUUGUACUUUCUUCAUGCCUUGCAUAUGUUUAUCCACAUAGAAGCAAUACGACCACUCAUCGUAAGAUUGUGGCAGAUGUAAAGUGGAUGUAUUGCUUCUAUGUGGAUGAACCAAUGCAUAGCAUGACGAAAGUACAACUGACUCACCCAUGACCAAUAGGAUAGCCUCAAAACAACUUUGGUACUCAGUCACAAGGGUUACUUGUCGUAUAUCUACCAAGAGACAUUUGUUUCUAGAUGCGACGGAUCAGUACAUUAAGAUGACAAUUGGGAUAUUCUUUGGGUGAAAUGGAUUCAUGGAGUACAUAUGAAAAAUAACUUGAAUAUAUGAGACCACACUCCUCCAUUAGAUUCAAGUUGGUAUUGGAAGAAGGUUAACUCUCUAAAAAAUGAUAUACAAGCUUGGUAUGCGCAAUAUGUUUUUUUUUUUUGAUUUGCACCGGGUGUCCGAGUCU
Long non-coding RNA from Solanum tuberosum (potato), 1321 nucleotides. RefSeq lists it as uncharacterized. Lineage: Eukaryota; Viridiplantae; Streptophyta; Magnoliopsida; Solanales; Solanaceae. The record is from RefSeq and is a predicted model, not a curated record. The transcript has 4 exons.